GACCAGUACAGCCAAGAAGACCAGUGAAGCCAGGAAGACCAGUGAAGCCAAGAAGACCAGUGAAGCCAGGAAGACCAGUGAAGCCAAGAAGAAGAAAAGAGCAUCAAAGCGCAAAAACUGAACACCCAGUCCCGAUGAGGCGAGCCUUCUCUGACGCAACAGAGGAGCAACUGACACCCCAGAUGUUUCCCAUCCACGCAGGCACUUCCCAUCCACUCAGAUGCGCUUGACAACUCCUUUUCCUCUUCCAAAGCAUCGACGACCUUCACAUUUCCUCAGAGCUCUCCCAGGAGGAGUGCUUGGACCUUGCGUGGUAUCUUGUGUUGGCAAUAAAAUAGUGCCAAGAGCUCGUGGGUGGUCUGCAGACCUGUGCCGCGCUGCUGCCACCGUUAUGACCUUAGACAGCUGUGGAGAAGUGUGUCUGGACUGAUAUACCUCGACCCCACUCUGCUGUCCAGGCCUCAGCACCAUCUGCUUCCAGAGCAUGCAGCCUUGCAAAGAGCUUUCCAUGGGGGGUGUAACCCUUUUUGAGCUCCAUAAAGUUCAGCAAAAUGAAUUUGCCCUGAGCCAGGAAAUGUACGGGAACUUCUUGCCACCCUCUGAAGACAGUGCAAGCCACAGCAGGGGGUCUUUUGUUUGUGUGUGUUUUUUGCAUCUUUUAGGGACAAGUGCUGGGUGGGGCCUUCCUGGUCUUCAGUCACUUGCUGCUUACUAGGCCAUAGCCCGCCCCAACCAUGACAGAGCAGGCCAGGCUCAAGGCUUUGCUGUACCUCCUGUCAGACUUUGUGUCUUGCAUUCUGUCCCAACUUAAAUUAAACCCUUGUCCACAGUUCUCGUGGCAGCAGAAGUUCCUGGCAGAGGGAGCCAGCCUAGAUGUCAGGAGGAGGUGACACCAGAUAGGCAUGCUCUGUCGACGGCUGCACCACUGAGAAUUGCCCACAUGGUGUUGCCUGAUGCACAAGGAAAGUUAGAUGGCAUCCAAGCCUGCCUCCUACAGAACUAAGAACCACGCUAGAAAUGACACUGUAGCAUCCCUGGGAACUGCAGGACUUUUGCGUGCUGCACCCUAGACAGAGCUGUCCUUACCCUGAAACAGAGCUGCAUGCUCCUCUCCUUUAGCAAGCAAGCCAUGAAGCAGCCACCCCUGUGGAUAGUGACGGCCUGGUGCCGACCACUGGCUUCUGCUCAUUUGCUUCCCUCAAUAAACCCUGUUUAGUCUCA
Long non-coding RNA from Peromyscus eremicus (cactus mouse), 1221 nucleotides. RefSeq lists it as uncharacterized. The transcript has 2 exons. The record is from RefSeq and is a predicted model, not a curated record. Lineage: Eukaryota; Metazoa; Chordata; Mammalia; Rodentia; Cricetidae.